This 933-nucleotide ribosomal RNA is filed under the name Advenella mimigardefordensis. RNAcentral describes it as "bacterial SSU rRNA". It matches the Rfam family "Bacterial small subunit ribosomal RNA", at positions 554 to 1489 of the family's 1533-position model. The record is from RNAcentral. Lineage: Bacteria; Pseudomonadati; Pseudomonadota; Betaproteobacteria; Burkholderiales; Alcaligenaceae.
CUGGGCGUAAGCGUGCGCAGGCGGUUCGGAAGAAGGAUGUGAAAUCCCAGGGCUCAACCUUGGAACUGCAUUCUUAACUACCGAACUAGAGUAUGUCAGAGGGGGGUAGAAUUCCGCGUGUAGCAGUGAAAUGCGUAGAUAUGCGGAGGAAUACCGAUGGCGAAGGCAGCCCCCUGGGAUAAUACUGACGCUCAUGCACGAAAGCGUGGGUAGCAAACAGGAUUAGAUACCCUGGUAGUCCACGCCCUAAACGAUGUCAACUAGCUGUUGGGCCCUUCGGGGCUUAGUAGCGUAGCUAACGCGUGAAGUUGACCGCCUGGGGAGUACGGUCGCAAGAUUAAAACUCAAAGGAAUUGACGGGGACCCGCACAAGCGGUGGAUGAUGUGGAUUAAUUCGAUGCAACGCGAAAAACCUUACCUACCCUUGACAUGUCUGGAAUCCUUUAGAGAUAGAGGAGUGCUCGCAAGAGAACCGGAACACAGGUGCUGCAUGGCUGUCGUCAGCUCGUGUCGUGAGAUGUUGGGUUAAGUCCCGCAACGAGCGCAACCCUUGUCAUUAGUUGCCAGCAUUCAGUUGGGCACUCUAAUGAGACUGCCGGUGACAAACCGGAGGAAGGUGGGGAUGACGUCAAGUCCUCAUGGCCCUUAUGGGUAGGGCUUCACACGUCAUACAAUGGUCGGGACAGAGGGUUGCCAAACCGCGAGGUGGAGCCAAUCUCAGAAACCCGAUCGUAGUCCGGAUUGCAGGCUGCAACUCGCCUGCAUGAAGUCGGAAUCGCUAGUAAUCGCGGAUCAGCAUGUCGCGGUGAAUACGUUCCCGGGUCUUGUACACACCGCCCGUCACACCAUGGGAGUGGGUUUUACCAGAAGUAGUUAGCCUAACCGCAAGGGGGGCGAUUACCACGGUAGGAUUCAUGACUGGGGUGAAGUCGU